RNAcentral lists this ribosomal RNA (333 nucleotides) under uncultured bacterium. RNAcentral's name for it is "bacterial SSU rRNA". It matches the Rfam family "Bacterial small subunit ribosomal RNA", at positions 568 to 898 of the family's 1533-position model. The record is from RNAcentral.
CGCGUAGGCGGCUCGACACGUCCGUUGUGAAAUCGCCCGGCUCAACUGGGCGGGGUCGAGCGGAUACGGUCGAGCUUGAGCAAGCUAGGGGGCAAUGGAAUUCCCGGUGUAGUGGUGGAAUGCGUAGAUAUCGGGAGGAACACCAGUGGCGAAGGCGGUUGCCUGGGGCUUUGCUGACGCUGAUGCGCGAAAGCGUGGGGAGCGAUCCGGAUUAGAUACCCGGGUAGUCCACGCCGUAAACGAUGUCGACUAGGUGUCGGGGGUAUCGACCCCCUCGGCGCCGCAGCUAACGCAUUAAGUCGACCGCCUGGGGACUACGGCCGCAAGGCUAAA